AGAGUUUGAUCCUGGCUCAGGACGAACGCUGGCGGCGUGCUUAACACAUGCAAGUCGAACGGAAAGUGCUCAGCUUGCUGGGUGACUCGAGUGGCGAACGGGUGAGUAACACGUGGGUGAUCUGCCCUGCACUUUGGGAUAAGCCUGGGAAACUGGGUCUAAUACCGAAUAUUUCCUGCUGGUCGCAUGGCCUGGUGGGGGAAAGCUUUUGCGGUGUGGGAUGGGCCCGCGGCCUAUCAGCUUGUUGGUGGGGUGAUGGCCUACCAAGGCGACGACGGGUAGCCGGCCUGAGAGGGUGUCCGGCCACACUGGGACUGAGAUACGGCCCAGACUCCUACGGGAGGCAGCAGUGGGGAAUAUUGCACAAUGGGCGCAAGCCUGAUGCAGCGACGCCGCGUGAGGGAUGACGGCCUUCGGGUUGUAAACCUCUUUCAGUAUCGACGAAGCGUAAGUGACGNAGAUACAGAAAAGCACCGCC
RNAcentral lists this ribosomal RNA (478 nucleotides) under uncultured Actinomycetes bacterium. Its description in RNAcentral is "bacterial SSU rRNA". It matches the Rfam family "Bacterial small subunit ribosomal RNA", at positions 8 to 497 of the family's 1533-position model. The record is from RNAcentral. Lineage: Bacteria; Bacillati; Actinomycetota; Actinomycetes.